This 19602-nucleotide long non-coding RNA is filed under the name Prunus persica (peach). Its description in RNAcentral is "long non-coding RNA (PPER_LNC001430)". The stretch from base 2411 to 2484 matches the Rfam family "tRNA". Lineage: Eukaryota; Viridiplantae; Streptophyta; Magnoliopsida; Rosales; Rosaceae. The record is from RNAcentral.
UGCCCAAAAUGGUAAGGCAUCCCAUGCCCAACUUUGUCCAUCCAUCUCCUGUAUUCAGCAACCCAUGUAUCUGAAGAUUUCAAGUUAAGGUACAACUCUUUGGUGGGUACUUUUUCUUUCAUGAGUACCUCAUUUUGAGAUGAAAGAAAUCCCAUAUCUUGCUCAAAGACCUUGCCUGCAUUCUGAUGAAAAUACCAUACGGGAAACAAUUUUGCCAGUGGAGACCUUUUUGUUCCACCAAAUCUCACAAUUAGCAUGGAUUUCCCCUGUCCAGUUGGCCUACAGAGAAAUAGACCCGUGAAGUAGUGCUUCUCCCCAUCCUUGUCAACAAUUUCUCUAUUGUUUUGAAGAGAACAUGGUGCUUCAAACCUUAAGAAGCUUUUGGCUGAUGGAUCACUUGUCUUGCCCCACCAACCUGCGAAUCCUCUAUCGCUGCGCUCGGUGACCUCAAAGCGCAGCGGCUGAGCAUCUUCCCUUUUUGCACUCCAGUCUGUCCUGUCAUGUGAGAUUGGAACAUGGGCAGGAUCCAUGAGAUUCUCCAAAAGUAUAGAGUGGUCAUACGGGAGCUCAUGGGUUGUAGAAGUAUCUUGAAACCCUGGCCGAGCAAAGUUCUCAAACCAAGGUAUCUUUGAAGGGUUUGGUGGUGUAUUCUGAGACAUCCAAACCCACACAACCCCUUGUGAGUCCCUCACCUCAUAUGUCUUCAAACAAGCUGAUUUAGGAAUUUUGGCAUCAGCUGGAAGCUGUGAUAUUACAGACACAAUUAAAGAGACAUUCAACAUCAUUAACAAUCUUAAUUAAUCAAAAGACAGACAGACAGACCGACAGACCUGAGGGAUCUUUACACAUUUUCCUUGGGCUUCAAAUUGCCAUCCAUGAUAUAAACAUUCUAGUCUUCCAUCAAUCAACUGGCCUUCGGAUAGUUUCGCCAACCUAGCUAAGAUUGGAUUGUCAUGUCAUGACCCAAGUUUUAUUUUCAUUAGUUAUAUAGUAUUGACAAAGCAAGAAGAUGAAGAUACAAAGUUCAAUAUGACAAAGAUUUCAUCCAAAACGAAAAUUCUAAUUCUAAAGCAACUAUAAAUCUUUCCAUGCUAUAUAGAAGAAUCUACAGGCAAAGAUAAGUUUACCUGUGGGGGCAGCGAUCUUGGUAGCACUGGAGCUCUCCACUGCCGUCCUUGUACAGCACAAGUUGCUUAUCAAACACAGUCAAGCCCAAAGGUGCGUCGUCCGGAAUGUCCUGGGUGAGGUACAGAGGGUACCAUUCCUCUGUCCAAUCAUAGUCCACCACGACCCGCUCUCCUCUCCUGUCAGCCUCGCUGGUGGGACCCACCAAGACCUUGUGAUCCUCCUCCUCCUCCUGAUGUUCAUCAAGUGGGGGAGCAGGAGGUUUGAUGUCUGCAACUGCACUACACUUGAUGGUGCUUAGCUGCUUUCUUGUUGGAAUUAAGGGUCUCAGAGGGUGGGGUGGGGAGGAGAGAGAUAAGAGCAGUUUGAGUGGCUGUGGUUGUCUGGGAGUUUUGGGGAGGUGGUGGAGAGACGUGGAAUGAGAAAGAAAGGGAUGAAACAAAGCCAUGUUUGAUUGUAUUGGAGAGGAAACAAAGGAAGAGGGAGAUGAUGACAUGACUGGCUGGCAGGGAGAGCUAAGGAGGAGGAGGAAAUAAUAAAGCCAUCAUCACGGUGAAUAAUAUGUGAUGAUACACAGAGAGAGAGAGAGAGAGAGAGAGAGAGAGAGAGAGAGAGAGAGUAGUGUGACAGUGAAAUUGGGUUGGGGGUUGCUUUGCUUAGUAGCUUGUUGCACUCCUGGUAGCCACACAAUCUUUUCUUUGGUCAAUCAACAAGAAAUAGUGGUAGCUACUCUACUAUGACUGUUUAGUUACACACAUAGACCUGUAUCUGUGUGUACCAUUUUUGGUACUCAAAACAUUGUUUAUUUCAUCCUUGGGUUGGGGAAGCUAUGGCAUUUUAUGGGGUUCCGUUAUAUUAUAUGCAUUGUUAUGUGAGGCACAGCGCAAUAUAUACAUAUAUAAUUGGUUUGGUGGGGUUUUGUUUUGUGAAACAUCCAAACCCAUACAAACAUCCCAGGAGUAAGGACUGUUCUUGUGUGAGGUUGAUGAGGACUCUUCUCUUCUCCACCAUCUCCUUGGACUGUAAUGACCCUUAUCAUUAAGGACAGGUCUUUGCAUUGCAGGGUGGUGGUGUGGCUUACAAACUUGUUGAUGCUCUUGGCCCUCACUAUAGAAUUCUCCCCGGGACUUCAUAACUUGGGCUUCCAUGUAAUGUUAUGAAUCUACCCCAGACCCAGUUCUUGUGGUAUGGCCAGGCCCAUGAAUAUUUCUAUUUAGUUUUGUUUGGGCCCGAAAAAUGACGGUACUACGAUAUAAAAUGAUAAAACUUGAUAUCAUUAGCAACUGGCCUAUUAGCUCAGCUGGUUAGAGCGUCGUGCUAAUAACGCGAAGGUCGCAGGUUCGAGACCUGCAUGGGCCAUAAUUCUCUUUUGGUUUUUUUUUGUUUCGUCCCGCAUUUUUGUUGUUGUUUCCAGUCCUUUUGAUCAAGUGGAGGGGAGGUGCAUGUUCAUUUGAUGCCUGUGAGUUCGAAAAUUAGAGUUGAUGGUUUUAGUGGGUACGAGGAGAUAGGGAAAAGCAAUUGACUGGUGGUGUCGUAUUGGGGAGAUGGAAAGUUAAGCCAGAGAAAUUGGCGGGACAAGAAAAGACAUUGGUGGAGUGAGUAUUAGUUAGUGAACACUGAACAGUGAAUAGAAAAAGGCUGGAUUUUUCUUGAACACCUUCUCAUUUUGUUGAAUUUGGUAAAAACCCACCUCACCUUUUCAAUUUCCUUCUUUUGUUAUGGUGGAAUACAAAAUACCAAUACAUACACAAUCAUGUUUACUUGGCUUGGAAAUAUUUCUACAUGAUGAUGGAUUAUGACUCAAAAAUCACAAUCUCCUGUGUGUUCUUAUGAAGUUUGUUGUAUUCAAUGCAACAGCAGCUGAGCAUGCAUAAGCUCCAGCUGAGAACACAGCCGCUGACACCAGCAAAAUGGCUUUCCACUGCCUCCCAGCCACUAAAAUAGCCACUGAGAUCAGCCCAAGAGCAAUACCAGAAAGACCAAUUUUCCAGGCUUCAAAACUCUUCACAACAUCUCUGCACCCUUUGCAAUGAAUCACAUGCCUGAAAUACCGGUUGGUCCAAUUCGGAACAUGCAGGCUUCCAAUGCCUCCCUUAGCUGGUUGAGAUGCUGAAACACUAGCAACAAGUCCUGCUGGCGCAUGUUCUACCAUGGCUGGCUCAUUGGGCAAUGAUAUAGUGCUGUGCCCAACAUGAUAAGGCAUGCCAUGCCCUACUCUGUCCACCCAUUUCCUAUACUCAGCUACCCAUACAUCAGAUGAUUUCAAAUUAAGGUACAGAUUUUUUGUGGGAGAUUUUUCUUUCAAAAGUAUCUCAUUUUGAGAUGAGAGAAAUCCCAUAUCUUGCUCAAAAACUGUACAUGAAAUGUGAUGGAAGUACCAAUCUGGGAACAAUUUAGCCAAAGGGGAUUGCUUGGUGGCUCCAAACCUCAUAAUGGCCAUCGAUUUUCCCUGUCCUGUUGGUCUACAGAGGAAGAGACCAACAGAGUAGUGCUUCUCACCAUUCUUGUCUACAAGUUCCCUUGUGUUUUCAAUAACACCAGGUGCUUCAAACCUUAAGAAGUAAGGCAAGGAUUGGUCUUUUGCCUCACCCCAAUAGCCUGCAAAACCUCUAUCAGUCCUCUCAGUCACCUCGAAUCUCAGCGGCUGUGCAUUUUCUCUUUUCGCAGUAAAACCCGUCCUGUCGUGUGAGAUUGGAAUGUGGGCAGGAUCCAUGAGAUUCUCCAGAAGAAUAGAGUGUUCAUAAGGGAGAUCAUGGAUUGUUGAAGAAUAAUCAAAGCCAGGCCUGUCAAAGUUUUCAAACCAAGGUAGCUUGUUGGGUUCGGGUGGUUUUUUGUGAGACAUCCAAACCCAAACAACACCUUGAGAGUCCCUCACCUCAUAUGCUUUAACACAAGCUGCUUUAGGAAUUUUAGCACCAGAUGGGAGCUGUGUAGUGCAUGCAGAGAUCAAUUAAGGUCCCUUGAUUAGUGUGGAAUAUUGUUAAAUCAAUUAAAAUGGGAACUAUAUAUAAUGAAAUGAAACAAAAAGUUUUGAGUUACAAACACUCAUAAGACACAUACAAAUUACCUGUGGAAUCUUUACACAUUUUCCUUGGCCUUGGAAUUGCCAACCAUGAUAUAAACACUCCAGUCUUCCAUCAAUCAACUGGCCUUCUGAUAGUUUUGCAAGCCUUAAAGGAAAGGGAAAAAAAACGCACACACACCAAAGAAUUCACUUUUUGUUAGCCAUGAAGUAGAAACUCUAAAGGAAACAAAACAGAGGAAGCAGAACAAGAUUUUCACUUAAGAUUUUGUGAAUGAAAAGAGGUUAUGAAUCAUGAGAUUACUAAAAGUAUUAAGUUUUUACCUGUGACAGCAACGAUCCUCGUAACAGCGAAGCAGGCCAGAGCCAUCACGAUACAAAACGAGCUGCUUAUCAAACACAGUAAGGCCUAAAGGUGCAUCUUCUGGCAGGUCCUGGGUUAGAUACAGAGGGUACCAUUCUUCUGUCCAAUCAUAUUCAGCCACGACCCUUUCACCUCUGUGCUCUUCUUCACCGGAAGGACUCACUAGAACCCUGUGAUCUUGUUCCUCUUCUUUCAGAUCAUGAUCAAGUGGAGGAGGUGCAGCAGCCUUGUGUUUGAUAUCAUCAGUGACUGCAUUAAAACUAAUUUUGUGGCUCUUUUUAUUUGUGAAUAUUAAUGGAAAUGGUUUGAGAGGUGGGUUUGAUUUGGCUGUUGUUGAUGUUAAUGGUUUUGAAGCAGUGGAAGAAGAGGGAAAGGUGUGUGAGACUAAAGGGUGAACCAGAGCCAUGUUUCUGCUGCUGAUCAAAUUAUUAAUGCACAGUUAUGUUCUGAUCACUUGAGAUUAAAAGAGAGAGAUACUGAUUAGGAGAGAGAGAGAGAGAGAGAGAGAGAGAGGGUGAAGAAGUUGUGUGGUGGUUGGCGUUGCUGGCAAGGCUCUGGGACUGUCGGAAAAGUCUCUGUUUUCUUUUUCUAGGGAAACGUUGCCGUGCUACUUUUGAUUUGUGUGAUGAAAUCUCCACAUGUUGUUGCCUUGAAAGGGAAACAUGUGACCCACUUCUACACCGUUUUGUCGAUGUGAUGUGAAAAACGUUUCAACUUUUAUCAUGAGAAUUUCGUAAUGUUCUCUUAGUAAUUAGAGUUUCUGUUCUGAUUGGUUUGCUUAUUGCAUUUGGAAUUUGAUUUUCAGUUGAUUAUAUGUUUCUUUUUUUCAAUUCAAUAUUUUCAAGAAAUUUGUAGUUUAAGAGUUAAAGAGCAUUGAUUCAUGUAUGUCAGCUAAUUAUUCGGAGAAAUAAUACAAUAAUACAGUACCACCACGUGGCACUGCCAGGUAGUAAUACACACCAAUUGCAUAACGACAUGUGGCAGAGAGAGAAUGUUAACAUCCAGAUUGAAUGGUAACACCGUUAGUAACCAACUCUCUUUUUUAUUUUUUAUUUUUAUUUUAAGAAAUAAAAAAGAAAUCCUAAGAUAUAAUUACUUUUAUCGAAAUCUGCACCACUGUUACUAUUUGUCGAUUACUGUAGUUUUUAUUUGUCGAUUGAUACAGAUUUUUGUUUCUUCAGUCUAUUGCUGCAGGUUUUUUUAUUUUAUUUUAUUUUUAUUUUUAUUGUUGCAGGUUAUACAGGUUGUUUCUUUUUUUAUUUUAUUUUAUAUAUUUGUUAUUAUUUCUAUGUUUGAUAAGAUGAUGUUGUGGCAUGUGCCAGUAUUCAUUGAUGUUGAAAGUGACGAAGAAAAAGUAAGAGAAAAAGAUCCAAUGAUUGUUAACUGUGUAGAAAAUAUUGAUGAUGAUUUGCUUAGAAGGGUUGUGUUGUGUCCACAAAAGAGAAAGUUUAUAAUCUCUACAACAAUUAUGCUACGAGAGUUGGAUUUAGUGUUCGGAGGGGACAAAAGAGAUACAAUACAAAAAAAGUUAUGCGCAAUUUAGUUAUCUUUGUUGAAAAGAAGGUUUUUGACUAGAUACUGACCCUUCGGAAUUGAGCAAGGUUAGCAAAUUAGAGACAAGAAUUGGUUGCGAAGCUAGUAUUCGAUUUGCAUUCCAGGAUGAAGAUGAUACGUGGAAAGUUUCUCAUUUUGUUCCUUAGCAUAACCAUGAACUUGCUAAGCCAGAAGAGAGGCAAUUUUUGAGAUCAAAUAGAAAAUUUUCAGAUUCAAAUUUGAGUGAGAUUAAAAUAAUGGUGGGUGCAGGAAUACGUACCACAAAUACAUAUUCUUAUUUAGCAGAAGACGUUGGCAGGUCUCAAAAUGUUGGUUUUACAAAAAGAGAUUGCUACAAUGUUGUGAACAGGGAGAAAAUGGCCAUGAUUGAAACAGGGGAUGCUCAAAGCUUGAUGAAUCUUUGCAAGCACAAACAAGCUGAAGAUUCUAUGUUCUUUUACACAGUUCAAGUUGAUCAAGAAAAUUGAACGACAAACUUUUUUUUGGAGAGAUGGAAGGUCACGAAUUGACUAUGACUGUUUUGGAGAUGUGGUAGUAUUUGAUACUACUUAUCGAACUAAUAGGUAUAACAUGAUAUGUGCUCCUUUUGUCGGCGACAACCACCAUUGGAAAAACGUACUAUUCGGGUGUGCUUUCUUAUUGGAUGAGAAAACUAAUUCAUUUAUUUGGUUAUUUGAGACAUUUUUAGAAUCAAUGGGAGGUCGAAAACCAAAGACGAUUUUUACUGAUCAAUAUCAGGCAAUGGCAAAUGGCAUUCAAAACGUUUUUCCUAGGGUAUGUCAUCGUUUAUGCUCGUGGCACAUAUCUCAAAAUGCUGCAAAAAAUUUGGGAAGUCAUUAUGGUAAUCAAGAGUUUAACCAUAUGUUCAAUAAGUGUUUUCAAGGAUAUUGUGAGACAGAAUUGGAAUUUCAAUCUAUCUGGGAUGACUUAUUAGCAAAAUUCAACCUUACAGGCAACCCAUGGUUGAUGACACUAUAUAAUCUUCGUGCAAAAUGGUGUCCAGUAUUUAGCAAGCAUAUUUGUACUGCUAGGAUAAAAUAUUCACAAAGAAGUGAGAGCACAAAUAAUGUUUUUCAUCAAAUGUCUACUAAGACAAUGAGUCUUACUCAAUUUGUGCAUCACUAUGAUAAAUAAGCGGAAAAAAUGCGUUCAAGUGAAUUAGAAGAGUCUUUUUGUUGCAAUCAAGGACUCCCUUCUAGAAUUGCCAAAAGCAGUGUAAUUUUGAAUCAUGUUGCUACUGUCCACACAAGGAAAAUAUUUAAAUUAUUUGAAAAGGAGUUUGUAGAUAGUUUGGCAGUGAUGAUGCAUGAGGUUGGAAGUGAUUGCACAAUUCACUCACUUGAACUUAAUGAAGAGGGUCACAACAGAGUUUACCUUGUCCAUUUAAUGAUGUAUUGAGUAAGGCAGCAGACAAUUUAAUGGAGUAACACUUUCUUUUUUCUCUCUCUCUUUUAGGAUUCCAAUUCUACAAGGACAUCAUAUCAACCUAAUUUGUCGUUUACAAGCAUGCUACAAAGUACUAAUUUCAUGGCACAUUUGAAUCAGGAUGGUUUAUCUAUAGCUUAUGCCUAUUUUGAAAUAUUUAACUGACAUGAAGCUAUAUAUAAUGCAGGAUUCACAUUCAAAUGCUUAUGAGCAGCAACAUAAUCCAUACAAGUAAUGUCUCCUUAAGGUGUUGUCUAAGACUAAAAUAAUUACAAUUAUUUUCAGUUACUUUUAACUUAUCUCCCACAACAUUCCUUCUCCUUCCAUGGAAUCCAAACGACACGCUGCAGUUCCAUAAAAGUUUGAAGAGCAUAUCAAAUGAAAGGAAAUAAAGUGAUUACUCAAAAGAAAGGAACUGCAUUUAAUCUAAUGAAAGGAAAUAAAGUGAAAACAAGGAACUGUUCAGGGGAGGACAUAUGCCAAAAAAAUAAAAUCCAAAGUUCGCACCCCCAGCAAUAAUAUACUCAAAUUGUAAGGUAAAACAAAUAGCAAAAAAACAGAGCAAUAAGUAUUAUCCAUUAAUAAUAUACCCUAAUCGAAUGAAUUUCUACACCUCAUAAAUUAAGAAAUAAAAUCAACAUGUAUUAAUUGCAACAAGAAAAUGCAAGAAUGCUACGAAAAACCAAACCGAAAUAAAACCCCUUCCAUCUCACAACUUAAAACACAACCAAAACCCCAAAAUAAAAACAGAUUUCGAUAAUAUGCCUUAGGUUUCUUUUCUAUUUCUUAAAAUAAAAACAAAAAACAAAAAAAGAGUUGGUUACUAAGGGUGUUACCAUUAAAUAUGGAUGUUAAUGCUCUCUCUCUUAAAAGACAGCCACGCCACAUGUUGUUAUGCAAUUGGUGCAUACUACCACCUGGCAAUGCCACGUGGUAGUAUCGUACUAUUGUAUAAUUUCUCAAUUAUUUGAUACCUCUCUUAUUUAAUAUUGCUUGUGAGCUAAGAAGUUAUGAAUACAAUUAUCGUUUAAUCCAAAAAAAAUAUUGCUUGUGUCAAGAAAGAAGAAAACUCAAUAUUCAACAUUUUUUAUUUAGCUUAUAAUGUUUAUGGCACCCUAAAAAUCUGUCUUAGAGAAAAGUAACACAUUAAAAUUUUGUAGUCUAUCACUUUACGAAUUUUUUUUAUUUAAAAUUUUUGAGAAAUUCUGGAAUUGCUUUACGAUAAACUAACAUCCAUUAGUGUUUUUUUUUGGUAAUUAAAAUUUCGGUUCAAUACAUCUUUUUUUCCUUUUUUUCUUUUAUCAAAAGAGGUUCAAUAAUAAUAAUAAUAAUAAGCUUUAUUUAUUAUAAAUAUAUUAAUUAGUUCAAAAUUCAAUCCACCUCAGUAUUGGGCAAAAAUCCGUCUUAAAAAAAGCGGUGAACAAAACCCAAAGGGAAGCUUUGCUUAAACCCCAGUAUUGGGUUGGGUUCCCUGCACUCCAGCUUGUGGCUCGGAUUUGGGAAUCAGAAUGAAAAUCGCAGUAGAAGGUUGUAUGCAUGGCGACCUCGACAAUGUCUACAGAACCCUCCAACACUACGAAAAACUUCACAGCACCAAAAUCGACCUUCUCCUCUGCUGCGGCGACUUUCAGGUACGUUACUCGCUUGCCCAAAUUUCGAGCUUUUUUCUUCAUUGAAUUGUUUCUGAAAUUUAACGAUGUUUAGUUGAAUACAAUUGUUUUCGGGAGGACUAGGCUGUGAGGAAUGAGAAGGAUUUGGAGAGCUUAAGUGGGCCUGAAAAUUUUCAAAUUGCCCCUAAACUUACAACUUUCAGUUUCGUUCUUUGCUUAUUUGCCCUAAAGUUUCAAGCUUUUUUAUUUGUUUGAUUGUUUCUGAAAUUGGACAAUAUUGGUCUAUAAGUAUUUUCGUGAAAUUAGGCUGUGAGGAAUGAGAAGGAUUUAGAGAGUUUAAAUGUGCCUCGAAAAUAUCGGGACAUGAAGACCUUCUGGAAAUACUAUUCCGGCGAGGAAGUUGCUCCGUUCCCCACAAUAUUCAUCGGUGGAAAUCACGAAGCUUCUAAUUAUUUGUGGGAACUGUGAGUCCCUUCUUCAGCUAUAAGCUAUAGCAUUCCCUUCCAAUUUUUCUGUUUGUCGUUUUUUAUUUUUAUUUUUUAAUGAAUAAUGUCUUGCCAUUUUCCCUGUGAUUUUUACUCUUUUUUUUGUUUUUUUUUUGUUUUUUUGUUUUCUGUUUUUCAGGUAUUAUGGAGGGUGGGCAGCACCUAAUAUAUACUUCUUGGGGUUUGCUGGGGUAGUCAAGUUUGGAAACAUUCGAAUUGGUGGGCUGUCUGGAAUUUACAACCGGCACAAUUAUUGCAGAGGUUAGUUUGCUUUAAAUUUGUGUCAUUCCAGAUGUUUAUUACUUUGCUUAUCGUUUGUUGAUGAAACAUAGUUAUUUAUGUUGGGAUAUUGUUCUUAUUCUUAAGUAUAGCUAUGGUAUGGGCAAUUUUUUGCUAUAUGGGGUGUUAUAACAAGGGUAACUUGUUCCUCCUCCUGAGCAGGGCACUAUGAGAGGCCUCCUUAUAAUGAGAGUACUAUCAGGUCCAUAUAUCAUGUUCGUGAGUAUGAUGUCCACAAACUCAUGCAAGUUGAGGAACCAAUUGAUAUUUUUCUUUCACAUGAUUGGCCUGUUGGCAUCACUGAUUGUGGGGACUGGAAGAAACUUGUUCGGGACAAACCUUUUUUUGAGAAGGAGGUAAUUGCAAGAAUGGAAAAAUGAGUUGGUAAGCUUUGAUAGGUAUGAUUUUAAAUAUCUUGUGUCGUUUAAAAUGUUGUUAGGUUCAGGAAAGAAAUCUUGGGAGUAAACCAGCUGCUCAAUUGCUAGAAAAACUGAAACCACCUUAUUGGUUUUCAGCUCAUCUACACUGCAAAUUUGCUGCUCUUGUUCAGCACGAGGAAGAUGGUUCAGUGACAAACUUUCUUGCCCUUGACAAGUGCCAACCAGGACGCAAAUUUCUGCAGGUAUUUGAUGUGAUUUUGAAUGUAGUAUAUAGGGUGUUCCCCUGGAGUCAUUGCUGGUAGCUAAUGGUUCUAUGUGUGACAUUUUCUGGUUUUUUAGGUUAUUGAAAUUGAAUCUGAGCCAGGCCCUUAUGAAAUCCAGUAUGAUGAAGAAUGGCUAGAAAUAACUCGGCGAUUUAACUCUAAUUUCCCUCUCACAAAUAGAAGUGCAAAUUUUUGGUGUGUACUUGAUCCGACUGUUAAACCUUUUCUUCCUCUUUACCCUUUUAACUUUCUUUUUCUAUUGUAAAGUAGCUACUAAGUGCGUAUGUUAUACUGUAGGAAUGUACAUCUUGACAAGCAAGAUUGUCGUCAAUGGGUCAGGAGAAAUUUACAAGCAAGAGGGGCUAGACCUUUUGAAUUCACCCAGACAGCUCCACCUUACAAUCCCUCUAACUCUGUCCUGAGCGGUACCUUUCCCGGUAAGGAUAAUUAUGCCAUCCUUUGUGUAAUAUCAUUUGAUAUGUUGAUAAACAAGAACAUCUUAUGUUAAUACUACAAUUUUUCUUUUGGCAGAAUACACUCGGAAUCCUCAGACAGAAUCUCUUUUGCAGUUUCUGGAACUUCCUUACCUUCUUGAUAACACAUCAGAAUCAUCACAAGUACCCAGGAGUCCUCUUCCAUUGAUCCGUACAGGUAACAAUUUUUUCUUCUCUGUCCUUGUUAAGAAUUUUCUCUUUUAAGCUUUCCUAAAACUAAUUUCAAAGCUUUCUGUAGGUUCUCUUGAAGAUAACAGUGAAGACAUUCCCAUUGAUGAUGUAGAUGAUGUGGAUGAGUUGGAAGAACUAGCUGAAGAUGCGGUGGAUACUAAAACUGAAAAUAUUUGAAGCUCCUGUUGUGUAGUUGUGUUGCUUUCUGUCAGUUUCAAAAUAUUUUUGCUGAUCAAUGACAUUAGGUUCUCUCAGUUGAAGUUUAUGUAAUCGAAUUUCAUGUAUGGUCAAUCAGGUUGGUCUGGGGUCUGGCCUCGUCUUCCAGCCCCUCUGACCUCUUUUUUUCAAAAUUUUCAUUGUUUUAGGCCAGUUAGUUUUAGACUAUCUUUUAUUCAUUGUCUAAUUUCUGUAAGGGUGAGCAAAUCACAUACUGGCCCAAUAAGAACAAGAGAUAUACUGACUUGUGUAAAAAUCAUUCAUCUGUCUAACAGAUGAAAUUUUAUAGGUUUAUUUAUUUAUUUUUAUCAUGACUAGUUCUUGUACGAUUUCAAAUACACGGUCUUCGUCUCCAUUUUUUCAAUUCGAUCAAUGCAUUCCUCAUCUUCUUAUGUAUCACGUGAAUCUUAUCCUAGACAUCAGUUCUAUCCGAUUUUCAAAAUUUCCCGAGAGUUAAUAAAUGGGGUCUGAAUCUGAUAAUAAAAAAUGUUUGCUUUCAUAGAGCCACACAAAAUCCUAUUUUUGCUUCUUUCUUUUCUUGGUGCGAUGAGUAAUUUUCUCAACCAAAGUGAAGCCAUCUACCUUCUGACAUUACCAAAACCACAUUAAUGCAGCCUUAAAUAAAACUUACAACAUAUUAUUCCACAUGGCCAACUAUCUCUUGCUCUCUCCAUAUCCCUCUCUCUCUCUCUGAUAUUUUCUGACUUUGAAUGCUCUAUAAUAAUACAAGAGCCAAGAAGUCAAUGUCUUAAGCGUUCCUCUGUAUGGUUUAGGCUCCAUGAAAAUAAAGCAAUAUGGAGAAAAGACCAACAGCCUUCUUUUACACACAUGGUGUCUUCUUUGUGUGGUUAUGUUUAGCUGCUUCUGCUUCUUGUGAUGAGCUCACAUUGAGUUUCUACUCAGCUUCAUGCCCUUCUGCUGAGCUCAUGGUCAGAAACACAGUCAGAUCAGCUUCUGACAUAGACCCUACCAUCCCUGGGAAGCUUCUUCGCUUGCUCUUCCAUGAUUGCUUUGUGGAGGUAAACAACUCUAGCUUGCUCUCUUAGAUGCCUUAUGCCUCAUUGAUUUUCGGCAUUGAUUUGAAUUGACACUAAGCUCCCUCCCCCAAGGAAAAAAAAAAUCUUAAACCAUGAAAAUGGGUGGCUUCUUUCAUGCAUGUUUGUUUGUGUAAUGUUUUUCAUGAUUUCAGGGUUGUGAUGCAUCUGUGCUUCUACAAGGAACUGGGACUGAGAGAAGUGAUCCAGCAAACACAUCUCUGGGAGGCUUUUCAGUGAUUGAUUCAGCAAAAAGACUGCUUGAAAUUUUCUGUCCAGGAACUGUUUCUUGUGCUGACAUUGUUGCUUUGGCUGCUAGAGAUGCUGUUGAAAUUGUUAAGAUCCAUCUCCCUCAUUAACUGUUAUGUUUAAUUCUUCAUUAAUUCUUUUUUAAUUUUCUGCAUCUUCUAGUUGGGUAUUUAUUAUAUUUAUGGUAUGACUGGAAAACAGUCUGGGGGACCUGUAGUUCAGAUUCCAACUGGUAGGAGAGAUGGAAAGGUUUCUGCAGCUUCAAAUGUCAGGCCUAAUAUUGUAGACACAAGUUUUACAAUGGAUGAGAUGAUUAAGCUCUUCUCAUCUAAAGGGUUGUCUUUGGAUGACCUUGUCACCCUAUCAGGUACAAUUUUAUUUAUCUAGACACGUGUUUUUGCUUGCCAAAAGUUUGAUUGAACCACUUUUUUGUUAGUUUAAAAAUUUAAUGAGAGGUUGAAGUCUUUUAGGUACACCAUUAACUGCUUUCUUUGAUGAUAUUAUUCCAGGAGCUCACACUAUUGGAUCAGCUCAUUGUGGCGCAUUCAGUGACAGGUUCCAACAAGACUCCAAGGGGAAACUCAAACUCAUUGACACAUCCUUAGACAACGCUUAUGCAGAGGAGCUCAUGAGACAGUGCCCUGCGGGCGCAAAUCCAUCUACAACAGUCAAAAUUGAUCCUAACACUUCGUUUGCGUUCGAUAAUCAUUACUACCAAAAUCUCUUAGCCCACAGAGGGCUAUUUCAAUCGGAUUCCGUCCUGUUAAGUGAUGACAGAACAAGGAAGCUAGUGGAGAGUUUUGCACAGGACCAAGUUAUUUUCUUGGAGAGUUGGGCUCAGUCAUUCUUGAAGCUUGCUAGCAUUGGCGUCAAGACUGGUGAAGAAGGCGAAAUUCGAGCCUCUUGUCCAACAACUAAUGCAUGAGAGAAUGAAAAAUAGUUGCAAAUUUGCAAGUUCUUACUUUGAAAGUGUUACGUCCUCAAUGCCACAAGUUGCUUAAAAUUAAAACAACUUUAAGAUGCAUUUGUAAAAAUUUUAUAUUGUUUAUGUUACAUUAAAAUUUACAAGAGUUCUUUAUUCGUUUGUUUGCUGUGUUGGCCUCUCUGUAAAAUGAAGAGAAAAACCAAAAUGAAUGUUAUCUUUAUGUUAUCAUAUUCAUGACAAAUAUAAACCUUUUUUUUCUCAUUUUAAAUUUAAAACACAUCCAUUUGCAGGGAAUUAAACGUAGAAACAUAAAGUGACCGUUUCCCAUUUAAAACCGAUAUUUCAAACAAACUAAACUCAACGCGCCAUUGUUGCUGCCACCACUUAGCUCUGUAGCUCUGAACUAGCGCGUACUUGGACCCAGAGCUACCUCUGUUUGUUAGUCUUACAUUGCUCUUCCUUCACCAUAACUCAUAACACCAUACUAGUUACUAGCAGAGCCUACUUCCCUCGUUUUCUUUGAAUUUCCAACAAAAUUAGAUCUUUUUUAUUUUGUUUUUUGGCUCGACCAAAUUGGCAUGACCAAGUUGGUGAAUUCAAUUUCUUUUUAGCGUUGGGUGUUCGAAAAAGGGAAAGGCUUUAUCUUUGUUUAUGUAGCGAAAACGGCAUUGGUGGCUUCUUAUGAAUGAGGGCACUGCACUCGCUCCUUGGCAGCACAGUGAAUGCUUUGUGCAAGGUUUCGAUAACCCAUUGUAGAGAAAUCAAAUUAGGGGUCCUCGCAGACGUUUACUACGGCAACAAUAUCCUAAAUGGAUAUGCAAGAUGUCAUGAUUUUUUUCUUGCUCACAAAAUGUUCGACGACAUGCCCCAAAGAGACACUGUGUCUUGGAAUACGAUGAUUGCUGGGCAUGUGAACUAUGGGAACUUUGAGACUGCGUGGGAGAUACUAAGAGAGAUGAAAGGAUGCGGAUUCGAUUUUGAUGGGUAUACAUUUGGAAGCAUACUUAAGGGGGUCGCUUGUGCUUAUCGAUGUGAUCUUGGGGAACAAGUGCAUUCCAUGGUUGUUAAGACUGGUUACGUGGGUAAUGUUUAUUCGGGAAGUGCUCUUUUGGACAUGUAUGCAAAGUGUGGGAGAGUUGAGGAAGCGUAUGUGGUCUUCGAUUCCUUGCCAGAACGUAAUUCUGUGUCAUGGAAUGCAUUAAUUGCUGGUUUUGUGCAAGUAGGUGAUCGUAAAACUGCAUUUUGGUUGAUGAAUUGUAUGGAGCAGGAGGGGGUGAAGCUUGAUGAUGGCGCAAUUGCUCCAAUAUUGACAUUACUUGAUGAUGCUGAGUUUUACAAGUCCACAAUGCAAAUCCAUUGUAAAAUUCUGAAACAUGGGCUGGAUUGUAAAAGUACUGUGUGCAAUGCCACAAUCACUUCAUACUCAGAGUGUGGGUCGAUAGAAGAUGCCGAAACAGUGUUUGAUGGUGCUUUUGGUAGCAGAGAUUUGGUAACAUGGAAUUCCAUGCUAGCAGCAUACUUGAUUCAUAAGAAAGAACUACUCGCUUGCAAACUCUUCAUAGACAUGCAAAUGCUUGGGUUUGAACCAGAUAUCUACAGUUAUACGAGCAUCAUCAGUGCCUAUUCUGAAGAUGUACAUAAAAACCAUGGAAAAUCCUAUCAUGGAUUGGUAAUAAAAAGGGGACUAGAAAAGUCAGAGCCAAUCUCUAAUGCUUUGAUAGCCAGGUAUCUCAAGUCAAAUAGCAAUUCCAUGGAAGAAGCAUUACAGAUAUUUAAAUCUAUGGAGUCUAAGGAUCGUGUUUCUUGGAACUCCAUUUUGACUGGAUUAUCACAAAUGGGGUUGAAUGAAUAUGCCUUGAAAUUCUUUGGACAUAUGAGAUACGCGGAGGUAGAUAUUGAUCAUUAUGCCUUCUCAGCUGUCCUCAGGUCUUGUUCAGAUUUAGCAACCCUCCAACUGGGUCAAGAGAUACAUGCCUUGGCACAUAAGUCAGGGCUUGAGUCCAAUGAAUUUGUUGCUAGUUCUUUGAUCUUUAUGUAUACUAAGUGUGGGAUCAUUGAGGAUGCUAGAAAAUCCUUUGAACAGACCCCCAAAGACAGCUCAAUCACUUGGAAUUCGAUUAUUUUUGGAUAUGCACAGCAUGGACAGGGAUAUGUUGCACUUGACCUCUUCUUCCAAAUGAAGAAGGAAAAAGUGAAACUUGAUCAUAUAACCUUUGUUGCAGUUCUAACAGCUUGUAGCCACAUGGGUUUGGUUGAACAAGGCUGCAAGUUUCUAAUGUCCAUGGAAUCGGAUUAUGGAAUAACCCCACGAAUGGAGCAUUAUGCUUGUGCAGUGGAUCUAUAUGGGCGCGCUGGGCGUCUAGAUGAGGCGAAAGCUUUGAUUGAAGCAAUGCCUUUUAAACCCGAUGCAAUGGUUUUGAGGACUUUAUUGGGUGCCUGUAGGGCUUGUGGGAAUAUUGAAUUAGCUAGUCAAAUAGCAGGCUAUCUGCUAGAGCUAGAGCCUGAAGAGCACUGCACUUAUGUUCUUCUUUCCGACAUGUAUGGACAUCUCAAAAGGUGGGAUGAAAAAGCUAGUGUAAAGAGGCUUAUGAGGGAAAGGGGUGUGAGAAAAGUCCCCGGUUGGAGUUGGAUAGAAAUUAAGAAUGAGGUUUUUUCUUUCAAAGCUGAAGAUCGUUCCCACUCCCAUUGUGAAGAGAUAUAUUGUGUAUUGGGAGUUUUAAUGGAGGAAAUCAAGAGGAUGGAUUUUGAUGCUAAUGUAAAGGCUUUGUUGCAUGAUUUGGAUCCUAUGGACUGGUACUGUGAUAAUGCUCUUCUCCAAAACUGUGAUUCAGUGUUGUCGGCUGCAUAAGGCAAGCUCACCAACUUUUUUCAAGAUACCAAAUUUUGUUUCACAUCCGUAUACGCUGUUGGAUCGUUAUUUCUUCUAAUGAUGCAUAUUACUUUUUUUUUCCCCUGAAAAAAGGGACUUGAGACUUUGGAAAUGGUUCAAGUUAAUCAAAUUUCUCAUUCAAUAUGAACAUAGGCUGGUUACCAAGGAAUGAAGCAAUCGUUGAAAUGCAAAUGUGAUUUCUUUCUACUUUACUUCAUUGUGAAGCAUUUUUACUUGCCUUGUUGCUAAUGUGAACUUAUUGCAAAAACCCUUUUGCUUAUAGACAAGAACAUUUUCUGAUGUGAGAACCAGAAAAAGGUGAUGGGAGGUUUUAAGGGAACUCCUGCCCUCGGAGACAGAAACCCUUUCACUUAUAGACAAGAACUCUAGUUGCUCAAGGGUUGAUAUUGUUAUGGACUUUUAUUAAAAUCAUUAAUUUCUGUUUUUUCUGUUGCAUUGAACAUAUUUUAAUAAACAAUUUCAAUUAUUACAUCAUAAGGGGUGAUGACUUUUCGAAGGGAACAUCCCAAGAGUGUGAAUACAAAUAAAACUUCAUCUUUAUGUAGUUUGGAUCAUUGCUUGAUGAAUAUUUAACAAAACACUAGAAUGCCAAAAGCAAUGAGCUGCCAUGACAGGAAUUUCCUUUGUCUUAUGUAUCCUCAUCUUUCCCAAUGCAAAUGUACCUUCAGAUUCAGAAGCUUGCUAGCACCAAACAUUGACUCAGUCUCUCUCAACUACAUUACAUUUAUAUUGUAGAAAGAAAGCCUUCUGGGUUUCAUUUGUUUCUUUGGGUUGGUUUUCUUUUGGCAUUUUGCAACACCAAAUUGGCAGCCGGUGACAGAUGAUUAAUUACUAGUUUGAAGAUUUGAUAUAAUCUUAGGCACUAUAAAAGUAGCCUUGUUAAUUAGUUUGAUUAAUGUAUAAUAUUUGAUGUAAUGGGUUGUCAAGAUUUUAUCCAGAGAUUCAGAGAAAUCUUUUUUUUUUCAAUUUUUAUUAAACCCUUUUCAUCUUUUUCAAUGGUGCACAGUGCACUAUCUGAGUGGGGGAAUUGGGAAACUAAUGGAUGAAAAAUAAUAAUUGGGGCAUGCCAAAUUGACAAAUGCGUAAAGAAGAUGAAGCCUAUCAAAAACAUUACUUGUUGGCAAUUGGAAACUGCAGGAUGAUUGGAAGUUAAGCCAUCAAAAUCUCUAUAAGCAUCUCUCUCUCACUCAUCUUUUGGGACAGAUUCCAGCUUUCUUCCACCACCCACUACAACCUCUCUGUCUACCCCACACCCAAGCAAGAUUCCAACUGAUCAUCUUCGCUCUCUGAUAACAGUUUCCAGCUAUUAAUUUAUUCCCACCAGAAAUUAGGGAUGUCCCAUUCACAAUCAAACAAACACAAGAUAACUUUGCUGGACCAACCUUGCUGCUGGCCGCCCAUUUUCUUUAAUUCUACUAAGGCAAUUACAUUAUUUGUCUUAAUCUCAAAUAUCAUGAAGUACAGAAAUGAUAAGUUUAGUUUGGAUCGUAAGAAUAUAGUGGCGGAUUCAGAUAUUUUUCUUCACGCUACAAUGGUAAAUACAAUUAGUUUCUACCUCAACCUUUUUGAGGCAUUUCGACAAACUGUUUAAGGAAAAUAUCAAUAGCUAACUGAAUUGAUGAGCCAGAUUAAGAACAUAGAUGUCCGAGUGGAGAAUAUAGUAAUUUAUAAACAAAUGAAUCGUUCCAAUAAUAAUUUUUUAAAAGAACUAAUGAUAGAGACCAAUUGUUUAAAUUAAACAACACUUGGUUUUCUUGUAAUAAUUUCAACUAGUUGGAUUGGAUGAUUGGUGUGCUCAUCGUGGACUCAAUUAUUUCUUCGGCAAGUGUACAAUUAUGUUGAUCAGGUCAACAUGGCUCCUAUACACGAUAUGUAUGAAUACUAAUAUUGUAUGAUGUUGUCAAAUUAUCAAUCCGAAGAAUUCAUGUUAUACAAUUUGGAUGAUAAAAUAUUAAUCAGCAUGCCAGAGACUUACAUAAUAGAACGAAUAAUUGUUAGUUAUAGUGGAGUUUUAACUUGUGGAGUACGUUAGAAGUGGGGUGGGGGGAUUUUGGGUGGGUGGGAAACCACUUGAAAUCCAAUAUUUUUACUUUUUGAGCAAAUAAAAGCAUGAAAAAUAAUUUCAUGAUUCCAUCGACCUCCCACCCCAUCCCAUCCCAGCAGCCUCUCUCCACCGAAAAAUCAAGUGCCGCAGAUUACAGGAUGAUUGAUUGCUUCCUAUCUCUUUUUCUGUGUGAAAGUGAAAAAACCAAUCAAUAAAAGAGAACAAAAAGACCCAACAUUGUUGACAAUUGAGAACGUUGUCUUUAUAGACCAUUUUGGUUGGACCCAAGUCAUUCAAGUGUGAAACUACCAACUAUGAAGUAGUGCCAUUCGUAUGGUAAAACAACAAGAGAACAAAACAAAUAAUGGAUGCUGAAAAAUACUGAUUGUUAAUAUUUUAUGUUUCUUCUGGAAGGAUGAGAUGAAUGCAAGAAUUUAAUUAAGGUUCCUAAUCUCAGAAUUUGCCUAAUUAACAAGAAAAUCAUGUCCUCCGGAAAAAAAAAAAAAAAUUAAUAAUGAUAACAAGAAAAUCAUGUCCGUACAGUAAUGCUAAUCAGGGUAGUACACAGGUUCACUAAGCAAUCAGGUGUGGGAUCCCUUUAGCUAUCAGUAGGACAGAUAAAUGGCCGUGCUUUUAAUACAAGAAAGUCUUCAUUCUACAUUCUCAUUCGGUCUCAUACUACAAUGUAGUUUAAUAAUUAGAAACGUCUCUUUUAGGGCACUCUUUAAAUCAUAUGUAAAAAAAAAAACAACUAAAUUGGAAAUCGUUUAGUCAUUUAAUUGUUAUUGGACGAACACAGAACUAUCCCAAUGUUACUCAAUCAGGUUAAACGAACUCCAAUUUUGUUUUUGUUUUUUGUUUUUUUUUGGGUAUAAAUGAUCUUUAAAGUGCUAUACCUCGAAAGUAAACGGUUUUCAUCCUCAUACGACAACAGAAAGAAGAAGUACAAAUGCAAAUGGAAUGUAGCAAACUUUCCCCUAUUAAUCUACCAGAAUUAAUUAUCAAACGUUUAGUGCUAAUGACGAAGAGUGAGGUCAAUGUAAGGCGGUUGCCUAAGGUCACACUCAUAGGC